AAUAAGGUUGAUUGGCCAAGCAGCAGUGGCCUGCUUGACAUAUACGGAUGAGUGCGUAUGACGAUGGACAUUGUCCAGUUCUGGCAGACCUUGUGCUUGUUUUCUUUGGGAAUCUUGCGCAUGUGUGUGGGUAUAGCUAUAGAGUUCCCUAAUAAGGACCCUUUAUAUGUAGCACUGGGCCGAACUCUGGUAUUGGAAGCACAGUUUCAACUAAAACAAAAUGAAAGGAUAUCACUGCGUACGUGGGAGCAUAAGAACAGCGAAGGGGAGGUCAGAGUUGCAGAUGGAGAUAAAACAUACAACAACAGAACAUCAGUGGAGAAGAAUGGAGCACUGUUGAGGAUUAAAGGAGUUGUAAAAAACGAUAUUGGACUCUACAAGGUUACAGUCACGACAUCAAACGGAGACCAAGUGUCUGCUGCUCGUCAAGUGCUGGAAAUAACAAAUCCUCCAAAAGCUUCUCUUUCCAUGCAAUGUAGUGUCUCGACUGAGGGAGCACAAUGGGACAGUCCUAGCUUUUUAUGGAUAGUGGAUGGGGUUAGCAUCACCAAUAAGAAUGAGACAUCUGAAGAUGGCAGCGUGCUACGUUCGAAAACACUAGGCCAAAACUACACAUGCAUCACUGACAGCAGUCACGGGACAAGCCAAGCGGAAUUGUACAGAGACUUUCGAAAAUUGGCACUAGCAAACCGUAGUAUAACGCUGAGCAACUAACAUUACAGUAAACGAUUGCAACACAGUGCUUUCUAGGAAAUGAGGUAUCUUAACACGAACAUCUAGGUUGCGAAUAAAAAGAACCCAGUGCACAAACAGCACUAGACUCAUGCCAGAGAGGUUCCUGUACUGCACUGAUCAUCUGUCUCGUCAUAGAAACCAUUAUUUUGGUCCUUAUGAUCGGGUACUGGGUAUAUAUGAGUAAGAAGAGCACUCCCACUGAAAGUGCAAGAAGAGAUCAGACACUGUGACCUCAUCUGAAAGAACCCCACUACAAAUACUACAAAUACAAACACUGCAUAAGAUCACUAAGUUCUUUUUUUUUCAUGUCAAUGUAUCUAUUUAUUGAGAAAUGGAUAUAUGUAAGUUAUAUUUAUUUACCGUGUAGAAAUGUAAUAUAUAUUGUUAUAUUGUGUGUGUGUGUGUGUGUGUGUGUGUGUGUGUGUGUGUGUGUGUGUGUGUGUGUGUGUGUGUGUGUGUUUACUAUGUGUGUUUUAAUGGAACACCUUUCAAAUUAUUUCCGGCUUAUCUACAGGACAAAGGAGUAAAGAAAAAAGCAGACACCAAGCUUGUGCUGGAAAAGGAAAAGGAAAAUAAAGUGCAGUACACUUUAUUCUAGUUUUGAGCACUAGAAUGUUUUUUUAGCACUUUACAAUGUCAGAGAUAGAAUUAAUUUUUUAAUAAAUGAAGAAAUUUUGAUUGA
RNA transcript from Tachysurus fulvidraco (yellow catfish), 1417 nucleotides. RefSeq lists it as uncharacterized. NCBI's taxonomy places the organism in Eukaryota, Metazoa, Chordata, Actinopteri, Siluriformes, Bagridae. The transcript is spliced from 7 exons. The record is from RefSeq and is a predicted model, not a curated record.